This 178-nucleotide non-coding RNA is filed under the name Eubacterium sp. CAG:603. RNAcentral describes it as "6S / SsrS RNA". It matches the Rfam family "6S / SsrS RNA". From Rfam's summary of the family: E. coli 6S RNA was the first non coding RNA to be sequenced, but its function was unknown until recently. It consists of 184 nucleotides that fold into an extended hairpin structure with a large single-stranded internal bulge. Lineage: Bacteria; Bacillati; Bacillota; Clostridia; Eubacteriales; Eubacteriaceae. RNAcentral also lists the same sequence under 4 other names. The record is from Rfam by way of RNAcentral.
UAUUUCCUGGAAUGCACGAUAACUUCUGUUUUUUUGAACCUACAUUUUUGAACAGGGACUCUUAUAUCUUUAGUCGGAUGUGAAGCCUCCUUUGAGUGGACCACAGAAGCCUGAAUGCGGAAACCCACCUAGCUUUGCUAGGAAUCAAAACUGCAGGAGCCGACAUUUUGGGGUAUAU